GAUGAACGCUGGCGGCGUGCCUAAUACAUGCAAGUCGAGCGAACGGACGAGAAGCUUGCUUCUCUGAUGUUAGCGGCGGACGGGUGAGUAACACGUGGAUAACCUACCUAUAAGACUGGGAUAACUUCGGGAAACCGUAGCUAAUACCGGAUAAUAUUUUGAACCGCAUGGUUCAAAAGUGAAAGACGGUCUUGCUGUCACUUAUAGAUGGAUCCGCGCUGCAUUAGCUAGUUGGUAAGGUAACGGCUUACCAAGGCAACGAUGCAUAGCCGACCUGAGAGGGUGAUCGGCCACACUGGAACUGAGACACGGUCCAGACUCCUACGGGAGGCAGCAGUAAGGAAUCUUCCGCAAUGGGCGAAAGCCUGACGGAGCAACGCCGCGUGAGUGAUGAAGGUCUUCGGAUCGUAAAACUCUGUUAUUAGGGAAGAACAUAUGUGUAAGUAACUGUGCACAUCUUGACGGUACCUAAUCAGAAAGCCACGGCGAACUACGU
Molecule: ribosomal RNA, 496 nt
Filed under: uncultured bacterium
Lineage: Bacteria
Description: partial 16S ribosomal RNA
Rfam family: Bacterial small subunit ribosomal RNA
Source: RNAcentral